Long non-coding RNA from Parasteatoda tepidariorum (common house spider), 1049 nucleotides. RefSeq lists it as uncharacterized. NCBI's taxonomy places the organism in Eukaryota, Metazoa, Arthropoda, Arachnida, Araneae, Theridiidae. The record is from RefSeq and is a predicted model, not a curated record.
ACUUUUUAAAUUUCUUUUAUUUUUGGUAAACUUUAUUAUUCUUACUUGUAAGAGUUCAGUUUUUUUAGGUAUUUAAUUUAAUUUAAAUUUUAGACUAAUAACUUUUUCUUUUUAAAGAUUUAUUUAACUGUUUCUUUGAAUAAUAGUGAACAGGUUUGUUUUUUUUAAAACAUUUGUUCAGUUAGUUUCUUUUUUAGCAGACAGGUGGCAGCAUCAAUCAUGACUUAACUUCAGUUUAUUCAGUUGAAGUUGUUUUUUUUUCCUCUGCUGAUUUGAUAUGUUUUUGUAAUUAAAUUUUUAAAUCAACAUAUGCAAGGUAUUUAAAUCGGUUUUUAAAUCAACAUAUGCAUUUCACAACAUAUGCAAGGUAUUUUUAUUUUGUAAUUAUCUUUCAAUUUUUGUUAAAAUAAUUUUAUUUUUGAAAAAUUAUUUCUGUUUGUGAGUUUCGAGGUGUUGGCAAUGGUGGCGUUUUUGGAAAGUAUAUAAAAGGAAGUGUGCGCGGUGUGCAAAAGAAGGCUUGCUCUCUCUCGCUCUCCUACCUGAUAGACGUCGUGCUCCACGAGUUUUUGGCUGAAGAAAGAAAGCCAUGUGGAAUUGGAAAGAAACACGUGCCGAGCGGCACAGAAGCUUACAUGAUUAGUAUGAAAGGAAGAUAAAAUGGUGAUCAAGAUCUGGUUCAUCUCCAUGAUCCAUGAGGAAGUGCCAGCAAGUCCGUGCCAGGGGGCACGUGAUGCAAAAUCUUCUCUUCGAGCAGGAGAGUCUUUAAAAAACCAGUAAACAGAUGAUGCAGCAUGCUCUACUUCCGGAAAAGCAGCAGAGCAACCACCCCAAAAGACAUUAUGCACUGUGUGCAGUCCACAUGAACCUACAUUCAAGAGACUCACAUUGUGUUCAUUCUUCAUUUUUUCCAUCAUUAUGUCUAGCACUUUUAGGUUGACAUUCGGACCAUCCAUAGAUAAUUGUAGUAAACUUUUACACAAGCAUUUCUCAUUUAUUUUUUCAAAUAAAUGUUCAGAUGUGGCAUGGCCUAGAAAGUCUGAAGAAUAGUA